GUUGUCUCUUGCUUUAGAUUGCAUGAUCCUCUGGGAAGGAAUAUUACUAAGUUCUGUUUAGUGCCCAGGAGGGCAGAACCAUAGUCUGAUAGGAGAGACCCUGGGUAACAUGGUAUUAUAAUGUUAUAAUAUUAUUAUAAAACAAGUAUGCACACAUUAUAAUCAUGUUUUAAUUAAGAAGGUAAAUGUACAGUUAGGCAAUUUAAUGGUAAUAUUUUCCUUUACCAUGGCUUUAUUAAAUCUGUGUCCCAUAGUUGUGUGUACAUACAACAUAUAGACUUUAAUGUGAGACAGCAGGCAUAAACAAUGAACAGAAGAACAAAAUAAAAAUGGAAGUAUGCAAACCAAUAUGAUAAAUGAAAGCCACAAGGUGUUCUUCUUAGUCCAUUUUUAGUUAAUAUGGUUCCUUGAGAACAUAUUUUUACUAAAUGUAGCCUAAUUGUGAGAACUGGGAUAUGUCUAUACAAGAUAUGUUAAUGCACCUUAGGCUAAUUUAUUGUGCAGUAUAGGCACAUGUCUAAACAUGCAGGCCCUUACUGCAUAGUGAAAAUGGCUAAUUGUGACUAAAUUUGAUACCUGCAUAUGCAAUUUGAUACCAAAUACAGGUAUCAAAUUUAGUUGUGAUUAAUUAAAGCACAGUAAUGCAUGUGUAGAUGCAAACUGGCACUAAAUUUAAUAAUGCCAGGUCUGCCCUGCCACUGGGAGCCUCUCCUGGCCUAGGGCUGGGCUGCCUCUGUGGCACGCCCUAGCUUUAGGGUAUAAAAGUCUGCAGCCAUUUUAUGCCCCAUGGCACACUGCACAGGAGCCUGGGUGAGCCUAUUCACUCCCCAGGAGCACUGUAGGCCCUGUGUGCCCCCCUGGACAGGACACAGGUUUCCUCUGCUUGUCCUGUCACCUAUCCAGAGCUGCUGCUUGGCCACAGAUGGGUGUUACAAAGGGCUGUAGCCUGCUGCACCCCCUUCCAGCCCUGAUAUCCCCCCACAGCUGCUGCCUGGAUGUCUCUGGCAGCAGGGCCAGCACCUGCUCCCUGCUGCUGCUCACCCCCAGCAGUCUGUCCUGUGCUUGCAGGUGCUGUGCUGCAUGGCUCCCAUUCCUGUGCUGUUCUCUUGUGCUGGGUACUGUUGGGUGCUGUCCAGGGCUGGCAACAGUGAGACAACUGCAUGGUGGCCCAGAGAGUUGACAUGGGUUACUGUCAUCCUCCUCCUCCCCAUCAAGGUCUGGCCCUGCUUAUGUGUCCAUGCCUGUGCCAUCCACCUGGGCCCCCAACUGGAUCCAGGAGGAGAGCCAACAUCUGGAUGCAGGGGAGAGCCCACUGGCCUCAGUGGGUGUGCCACCUCCAGGUUGCUACCACCCAGCAUUGGAGUCCAUCGCAUGCACCAGCUGCAACAACGGCACAUGCAAAACAGGACCCUCCUGUUCCAGCACCUGGUGGCGCUGGCCAGGGCAGCCAGGAGGAUCAGGGGACCUUAUUCCUGGCUGCCAGGGCCAGGGGCUGAGGCAGCCAUAGCUGAGGACUGCAGAUGUAUGAAUGCUUUUAUGAAUAAAAGUGCUUAGUGUAAUUUUCCCUGA
Alligator mississippiensis (American alligator) is the source of this 1569-nucleotide long non-coding RNA. RefSeq lists it as uncharacterized. The transcript is spliced from 2 exons. The record is from RefSeq and is a predicted model, not a curated record. NCBI's taxonomy places the organism in Eukaryota, Metazoa, Chordata, Crocodylia, Alligatoridae.